Molecule: long non-coding RNA, 619 nt
Organism: Talpa occidentalis (Iberian mole)
Lineage: Eukaryota; Metazoa; Chordata; Mammalia; Eulipotyphla; Talpidae
Exons: 3
Source: RefSeq, a predicted model, not a curated record
UAAAACCAGACUUGCUCUUGAUCCAGUGAUUAUAACUUUUUUCUCUCUGGAAGUGAUAAAAUCUUUGUUCCAGGAAUUCUGAAAUGUCAUAAUCAUGUGUUCCGGGCUUUUGCUCCUGUCUCAUCCCAGUUUUCUUAAAUGAGAGUCUACUUCUCACAGCCCAGAUACGAUUUCAUGUACUCAAGACAGAGCCUUCCAGGACAUCCUAUUGGAAUAGGAUGCCGUUUGCCCUCAACUGUAACACUUGGACAGUGUUAGGAUUUUAUCUUCAACUGUCUUCUCUUCUAGAGUUUAUUUUCAGGGUGCGAGACAUGGGCGGGCACAUUUAAUUAUGACGCCAGGACCCAGGGAGCAUGGGAGUGUGCAUGUGUGAACGCUCACUCUUGUGCCUAGUGAUGGCUAAAAGGAUGGCAUCACUCUGAGACCGACUAUGGCAGGAGGACCACUCUGAGGUAAGACUGCAAGAUGACAGGAGACUGACAGAGAAAGAGAACAAAGAUUUGCAGGGGUUUGGGGGCUCGGUUUCCUGCCUGCCUCCCAGCCUCCCUGCCCGCCCUGCCUGUCUUCUUGCAUGCCAGCCUCCCUACCAGCGUGCCUGGUUCCUCAGAAAGCAUUAAAA